UGGUCUGGCCCAACCUUGGAACCUGCCAUUCACUACUCCUCCUCUUUAUCCUUUUUUCAUCACGGGGUUCUAUUGUCUGUCUCUGCUUCUACUUCAUGGAAGUGAAGACAGUCAUCAAGUAGGCUAACAUUUCUACCAGCUGUGAUAUCUUAAUAUUAACAUCAUGUCAUUUAAAAAAAUACUAAGUCAUUAAACUAAACUAUUGUCUUUCACAGUGGAAAUCUCAGAAUCUGCACGCGGCCCAGUGAACGAAGCUAGUGGUUGGUUUUAAAACGUUAGUUGUGCAUGCGCUAACAUAACGGUUGCUAAUUCAUGGGGUUUGAAGCGAUCCGACAGCUGCUAAUAUAAUAUUGCUGGUCAUAACGUAAGUAGAAGGAGGGAAUAUAUACUGGCUUUACCUUUACAUAUCCUAACGGGUAGGUAGUUAGCUUUAGUUUUAGCCAUAUGUCGGUAGCAAAUGUUUAAGUGGUUGACGAACAUCAGCUAGUCUAGGUACUUAGCUUGCUAUCGAUAAAAUCCGUUAUUUUUUAAAAUCCGAUAAAGAUGUGCAGGUAAUUUAGAUUGAAUACACAAAUUCCCAUUGUCAAGCUAACAUCUUCCAGCAACGUCGGGGCAGAAGAAACGUAAUUACCUAACGUUAGCUAUAGUCUGAAAGUUCAUGCCGAGUCAUCGUAAGGCUAACGUUACGGUGCUGGCUGCUGACUUUUGAAGGAUGCUUCAUCAUUUCACGGAUCUGAAGUGGCCCAAGCCAGCAGUUCAGGAAAGAUGCCCAAAGAUGUGCAAAUAGGCAACUCUAGGAGGACAGGCCCCAAGAGAUGAGCAAAACAGGAAGCACAGGAUGUGACUGAGACAGAGGAUGAAAGGAGACUGUCAAACCGCAACCUUUCCACUAGACCAACUUCACCCAUCUGCUUGCUAUAAGAAUAAUUAUAACUAGAUAUAACCGGCUAUAAGCUAGAUUAAAAAGUGCCCCACUUCGAGUGGAAAAUAACUGGGGCAUAGUUCAGUUAUAGGCUUGCAAAAUGUAGAGCACGCCUCUUGUGCAUGAUGAAAAAGUACUGAGACACUGUAUAUAAGAAGCUGUCUGUACACACCUAACGUCAGAGAGUUUUGUGAGUACUCUCUCAUUCUUUUCUCUGUUUGCAAGCUGAAUAAAAGUCCUAUGAGUGAA
This is a long non-coding RNA of Anguilla anguilla (European eel), 1171 nucleotides long. RefSeq lists it as uncharacterized. The transcript has 3 exons. The record is from RefSeq and is a predicted model, not a curated record. Lineage: Eukaryota; Metazoa; Chordata; Actinopteri; Anguilliformes; Anguillidae.